CCUACGGGGGGCUGCAGUGGGGAAUAUUGCACAAUGGGCGCAAGCCUGAUGCAGCCAUGCCGCGUGUGUGAAGAAGGCCUUCGGGUUGUAAAGCACUUUCAGCGGGGAGGAAGGCGUUAAGGUUAAUAACCUUGUCGAUUGACGUUACCCGCAGAAGAAGCACCGGCUAACUCCGUGCCAGCAGCCGCGGUAAUACGGAGGGUGCAAGCGUUAAUCGGAAUUACUGGGCGUAAAGCGCACGCAGGCGGUCUGUCAAGUCGGAUGUGAAAUCCCCGGGCUCAACCUGGGAACUGCAUUCGAAACUGGCAGGCUAGAGUCUUGUAGAGGGGGGUAGAAUUCCAGGCGUAGCGGUGAAAUGCGUAGAGAUCUGGAGGAAUACCGGUGGCGAAGGCGGCCCCCUGGACAAAGACUGACGCUCAGGUGCGAAAGCGUGGGGAGCAAACAGGAUUAGAUACCCCUGUAGUC
This 465-nucleotide ribosomal RNA is filed under the name uncultured Klebsiella sp. RNAcentral's name for it is "bacterial SSU rRNA". It matches the Rfam family "Bacterial small subunit ribosomal RNA", at positions 338 to 795 of the family's 1533-position model. The record is from RNAcentral. Lineage: Bacteria; Pseudomonadati; Pseudomonadota; Gammaproteobacteria; Enterobacterales; Enterobacteriaceae.